AUUGAACGCUGGCGGCAGGCCUAACACAUGCAAGUCGAGCGGAUGAAGGGAGCUUGCUCCUGGAUUCAGCGGCGGACGGGUGAGUAAUGCCUAGGAAUCUGCCUGGUAGUGGGGGAUAACGUCCGGAAACGGGCGCUAAUACCGCAUACGUCCUGAGGGAGAAAGUGGGGGAUCUUCGGACCUCACGCUAUCAGAUGAGCCUAGGUCGGAUUAGCUAGUUGGUGGGGUAAAGGCCUACCAAGGCGACGAUCCGUAACUGGUCUGAGAGGAUGAUCAGUCACACUGGAACUGAGACACGGUCCAGACUCCUACGGGAGGCAGCAGUAGGGAAUAUUGGACAACGGGCGAAAGCCUGAUCCAGCCAUGCCGCGUGUGUGAAGAAGGUCUUCGGAUUGUAAAGCACUUUAAGUUGGGAGGAAGGGCAGUAAGUUAAUACCUUGCUGUUUUGACGUUACCAACAGAAUAAGCACCGGCUAACUUCGUG
This 484-nucleotide ribosomal RNA is filed under the name uncultured bacterium. RNAcentral's name for it is "partial 16S ribosomal RNA". It matches the Rfam family "Bacterial small subunit ribosomal RNA", at positions 30 to 507 of the family's 1533-position model. The record is from RNAcentral.